CCCAGCUGUGUGUCUACGAAGAGUGAUGGGUCCAUGGGACAAUCAACUUCAGAGAAGGAGACAGAGACCAACAGGACAUUUCAAAGUCAGAGACCCUCAAUGAUCAGUCUACCCAGAGUCAGCUAACAGACCUCUCCUCCAUAUUCAAGUUGCUUGAGCAACAUAUCAUCAGUUUUGUGAAAAGUGAGCUGAAGAGGUGGAAGAGGCUUCUGACUCCAGAUUACCCAGACAGCUUUGACAGUCAGGAGGAAGAUCAGGAAGUGGUGGAUGCUGAACAUCAGGAGAGCAGAGCCAGAGCGGAGACUCUGAAUAUCACACUGCACAUCCUGAGGAACAUGAACCAGAAGGAACUUGCUGAUACACUUGAG
This 368-nucleotide long non-coding RNA is filed under the name Salmo salar (Atlantic salmon). RNAcentral's name for it is "lncRNA (ENSSSAG00000100571.1)". The record is from RNAcentral. Lineage: Eukaryota; Metazoa; Chordata; Actinopteri; Salmoniformes; Salmonidae.